Molecule: ribosomal RNA, 391 nt
Filed under: uncultured organism
Description: bacterial SSU rRNA
Rfam family: Bacterial small subunit ribosomal RNA
Source: RNAcentral
CGCUUAACACAUGCAAGUCGAACGGUAACAGAAGUCAGCUUGCUGACUUGCUGACGAGUGGCGGACGGGUGAGUAAUACAUAGGAACCUUCCCUUAAGUGAGGGAUAACCCGAGGAAACUCGGGCUAAUACCACUAAAGCUCAUUGAGAAAAGCCGGGGACCUUCGGGCCUGGCGCUUUAGGAUGGGCCUAUGUCGGAUUAGCUAGUUGGUAGGGUAAUGGCCUACCAAGGCGACGAUCCGUAGCUGGUCUGAGAGGACGACCAGCCACACUGGGACUGAGACACGGCCCAGACUCCUACGGGAGGCAGCAGUGGGGAAUCUUGGACAAUGGGGGCAACCCUGAUCCAGCGAUGCCGCGUGUGUGAAGAAGGCCUGCGGGUUGUAAAGCAC